RNAcentral lists this ribosomal RNA (253 nucleotides) under Anaerostipes hadrus ATCC 29173 = JCM 17467. RNAcentral describes it as "Anaerostipes hadrus DSM 3319 partial 16S ribosomal RNA". It matches the Rfam family "Bacterial small subunit ribosomal RNA", at positions 524 to 776 of the family's 1533-position model. The record is from RNAcentral. Lineage: Bacteria; Bacillati; Bacillota; Clostridia; Lachnospirales; Lachnospiraceae.
UACGUAGGGGGCAAGCGUUAUCCGGAAUUACUGGGUGUAAAGGGUGCGUAGGUGGUAUGGCAAGUCAGAAGUGAAAACCCAGGGCUUAACUCUGGGACUGCUUUUGAAACUGUCAGACUGGAGUGCAGGAGAGGUAAGCGGAAUUCCUAGUGUAGCGGUGAAAUGCGUAGAGAUUAGGAGGAACAUCAGUGGCGAAGGCGGCUUACUGGACUGAAACUGACACUGAGGCACGAAAGCGUGGGGAGCAAACAGG